This 2673-nucleotide long non-coding RNA is filed under the name Setaria italica (foxtail millet). Its description in RNAcentral is "long non-coding RNA (SITA_LNC001523)". The record is from RNAcentral. Lineage: Eukaryota; Viridiplantae; Streptophyta; Magnoliopsida; Poales; Poaceae.
CACCAUCAGCAGGACUUAGUCAACCAGUUGUUGUAUGCAGCUCCUAAUUGUAUAUAAAGUAGCUUGUCAUAGGUUGUAUGAAAAAGAGGAAUCUCUGCAGAAACCUUUGGUCCUGCAAGUGAUCAAGGAAGAUGGCAAAUUAACAAGUUAGAGCCAUUAUUCUUGUUCUUUGUAAAUAUGCUCCAUUUUACAUUAUAGGACUUACAUGAUGAGGCAACAAGUUUGUUCUGCAAGAUCUUAUGUCUUGAAAUCCAAAAUUUACUGCAUAUGGCACUCCGCAACGACUGUUUUUCCCAUUUCCGCUGCUGAACCAAACCAUGUCGAUGCCAUUGCCUAGGUGAAAUCAUAAAUGAAAAAGGGAGUUAAGCUUUGAACAAUGGUCAGUGCAUGAUGUUUAACCAAAGAUGAAAUUGUGGGCUCAAGCCAACAAAAGUGCAAAUCUUCAGAAAAUUAUGUCUACAGACUAAGCCCAGUAGUUUUUUUAUUUGCAGAUUUCUUUUGCUGCAAAGUAAAUGACCUCCUGAAAAUCCAAGUAAAUACCCUGGCAACAAAUAGUAUUGCAUGCAUUCAAUAUUACUGCAGUUAAAGUAGGAGGAGCAGUAUGGAUGGAUUCAUAACCAGGGUCUGAACUUUCCAGCAAAAACUGGCAUGGCAUGUGAGUGAAAAUUGGGAGUAGGCCCUUUGGACAAUGCAUGCAGCUACCACGAAACUUCGAAACGGGUGCCACAUGCAAUGCUAUAAAUCAUGCAGACCACUGGUAGAAAAUUGAGAUGCGGGACUGCCGACCAAGUUGCGCGAUUUGCAGCAAUCAGAGCACUGCUCGGUGCUCACCAACACCUAGCAUGCAACUGCAAGUAGAGAGUACAGAACAAAAAGCAGUGAAGUGAACCCUGCAUCUGUCUGGAAAUUAAGUAUGUGUUUGGAUGGAAGACAAUGUAGGAUGGGAUGGUCCCGUCCCGGUUUUGUGGGAUGGGACCGUCCUGUCUAGUGUUUGGUUGAAAUGGGAUGGGAUAGUCCCGUCUUGUGUUUGGUUGGAGAGGUUGACGUGGUGAUAUGGAUGAUUUUUUUUGACAUCGUUAGCUACAGUAUUUUGUGGAUCCCACAUGUCAUCCUCUAUCCAUUCCAUUUCUUUUUUCCUUUUUCUUUUUCCCCUUAUCUUCUCUGGUUCUACCCGCCGGCCAUGGAGACCCGCCGGCUGCUGCCCAACCUCCUCCGGUCUUCUCCCGCCGGUCGAGGGCUCCAGCCGCGCCGUCGACCUUGAGCCCGGCCGCGCCGCCCCUCGGGACGGCUUCACCCACGCCGCCUACGCCCGCGGCAACCCUAGCCGUGCGGCUUCCGCCCCAGGAUGGCUCCGUCCCGCGCCGCCUCCGCCCGCCCGCGGGGAUGCUCCGCGCCACCCCCGGGAUGCCUCCGCCCGUGGCGGCCCUGGCCGCGCCGCCUCCGCCCACCCUGGUCCUGGCCGCCCCUGCCAGCGCCCGUUCGCGAGCCUUUCAACGGCAUGAACGGGGAAACGAGGGAUGACCCCAUCCGCCACUUUUGGUGGGACGGGGAUGUCCCGCAUCUGGAGGGUAUAUUCCCUCCCGGGGAUGUUCCCAUCCCACAUGUUUGUCAACCAAACAUGGGACGAAGUCGUCCCGUCCCACUUCGUUCCUGGAACCAAACGCAUCCUAAGUCUUCUGACUCUUGAACCAUUCCACCAUGUCCCCAUGGAGGGAUUGAUGCUGGCUCUUCAUCUAAUCGCAAUCAGCAUGUUGGGGAUGUGCCUUUGUAGGCUAGGGUCUAGGGACCCAUUUUUGCAUAUAAAAAAGGACUAAUUAGGGGGUCCAAGGGCUCAAUUUGGGUAUAAGGGGUCCUAGGGACUUGUUUGUACUAUCCAACCCCACCAAUGGAAUAAGUAUAAAUAGCCAUCUCCUCCUCCCUAAAAAUAAAGCUGGGGGAGGGGACUCUUGGCCAUGUGUUCAUUUGCUUACUUGUUCCCCCUCUCCUUCUCCCUCUUGUCUGUUCGGGAUUUCUAAUCCCAACGCAGCUAAAAAAAGAAAGAAAAGAAAAGAAAAAAGAUUAGGGUCCCAAAUCAUUCAGAAACCAGCCUAUCUCUGAAUGACUUGAAACAGGACACUGAAACAGAUAGCAGCACCUCCAUAAAAUUGAGUCCCUGGAUGCUUGAACUAUGUCAGUACGUAUCUGAUUGCACAACAACUAGUCGUCUAGUCCACUACAUUUGCCUUCAUGAGCAACAACUGAUGGCCUAGCAAAAUGUAAUCUGAAUCUCAAUGUGUACGUUAGUGGCUUAGUCGGAAUCGUAAGUAUCGAGCUCAGCUGAACCAGCUGCUUUGAAAGUUGAAACGAUUAAACCAGAGCUAAUGCCCAGUUCUAAUCAGCUCACUUUCAAGUACUAGUAACAGUCCGUGCACGGGCAAAUCCAAUUUUUAUAGGCUGAGGCUCUGUCUUCUGCUUAGCUGUGCACACGAACAAGCAAUCUGAAUAAGUUUGCCAGGUAUGGAAUUCUCACCAGAGCGGGGCGUGAAGGAGCGCUCCAGCCGACGCCCGACGACCCGCCGAAGCACCGAAGCGGACGGAGUGCCAGCGCCGCAUCCGCAUUCCCCUCGACGCCACCGCGCACCGGCAAGCGGUCAACUAGAGACGCUGCAGGGUCAAUUGCACGCGAGGAACAAG